UUCAGCUUUUUCAAAUUUUAGUACUGAAUACGUGCUUCACACACACGUAUUAGCAAGAAUUGUAGUUAACUUUAUUUCUUCAAUUGUACACCUUAAUUUUCUAGAUCCCCUUCCGAUAUCCCGUGAAUUAUUUCAGAAUUUAAUUCUGAUUUUCAGGUGCGUUUCUUAAAAUUCUUAUUUACCCCAUCUUUUUCACUAUCUUUUGGUAGCAUACAGCUCAUCAUGAAACGCUGCAUUUCAGACAGCAAUUUUUUUAUCGCUAUGAAAUGAGCGCGAAGUUCUGUUGCUACCGUUGCUACUCUGAUAUAUUGAUGUUGACAUUUAUCAAGAUCAAAUUCUUAUUAAAGCAAUAGUGUUUGAAUUUGAUGUAUUUCUGGGACCAUCUGCACAAAGAAAAAGAUGACAUAUUGUUGUGUAAUUGGCUGCAAAAACAGCUACAAAAAUAGAAUAGUGGAGCAUGCAGGUGAAGGCAGCAGUUGUCAAACAAGUGAAAAAAAAGUAAGAUAUUUCAAAACACCAAAAGAUGAGGAACUAUUUCAACAAAGGUCACAGAAGAUUCCUAGAAAGGCAGGCUCAAAAUUACAUGCUUCAUCCAAGGUUUGUGAUAACCAUUUUAUAGACCACGAAAUGGUUAAGCAAGAUGAAAUACUGAUUGGAGGAAAAGUGGUUUUCAAUCCUCGGACAUAUUGGAAACUAAAAAGUAAUGCUGUUCCUAGUAUUUUUGAAGGUAAUGAUUUGUUAUAGUUCAAUUAAAAAACAUGUUACAAUUGAUAAACAACUAUUUGUUUAUGAAUAACACAAUAGUAGUCGCUAGCACUUCUUCCAGAGUUAGGUAGAGCACAGAGCCAACUAUUAUGUAGAACGGGUAAUGUUUUGCUACGCUGUAAUAAAUCAUGUGUGUUGAAUAUUCUGCAAUUGGUGAAAUAGACAUGUUGAAACUGUG
This is a long non-coding RNA of Daphnia magna, 943 nucleotides long. RefSeq lists it as uncharacterized. NCBI's taxonomy places the organism in Eukaryota, Metazoa, Arthropoda, Branchiopoda, Diplostraca, Daphniidae. The record is from RefSeq and is a predicted model, not a curated record. The transcript is spliced from 2 exons.